Folsomia candida is the source of this 515-nucleotide long non-coding RNA. RefSeq lists it as uncharacterized. The record is from RefSeq and is a predicted model, not a curated record. Lineage: Eukaryota; Metazoa; Arthropoda; Collembola; Entomobryomorpha; Isotomidae. The transcript has 2 exons.
AAAAAUUUCGACUAAAACUUCUAAUUUGCAGCUAAUACAAAAUGGAUUGAUUUCGUUUUGCUGCAAAUUAGAAGUCUUAGUGACAAAAAUCAUUUACAUUACUGGUAAGUGGCGAGGAGAAAAAGUCAACUCGCUCACUAGGAUGCCCAGACUGUUCCCUAACUCUAACUUUAAGGGGAAAUUUUUGACUGGUUAUCCAGAACCAGGUUAUUGGGAUUACAAAUAAUGCAACAUUCAUGAAUGUAAGUUAUUGGUAUGCACCGCAACUAAUCCUAAACCCGACAUGAAAAUCUUACAAAUCCAUGCAAAUGCUUAAGUCUGUACAUGCACUAAAUGUGAAAUUAAUUAAUAUUAAUCACUUAUGGAACAAUACAGUUUAUAUUUAUUAAGUGUUUUUCCGCAGACAAGACAAACGUUUAUAGUAAUAAUUAAACGAGUACGGUGAACAUGUAUCUGGAGUAGAACUAUCUACUCGUUUUUCUUUCUAAUUAAUUUAAGAGGUAGGAAGUUACGAC